This 334-nucleotide long non-coding RNA is filed under the name Salvia miltiorrhiza (redroot sage). RNAcentral describes it as "long non-coding RNA (SMIL_LNC013922)". The record is from RNAcentral. Lineage: Eukaryota; Viridiplantae; Streptophyta; Magnoliopsida; Lamiales; Lamiaceae.
AAAAUAUGUUAUAAUUAGUAUUGGGAGUGGUGAAAAGGUGAAAAAGUGUUAUAAUUAGUAUUGGGAGUGGUGAAAUAGUGAAAAAUAAGAAUAAAUAAAGUAUUAUUAGUGGUGGGGUAGUUGCCAAAAAUGGAAAGAAAGAAAGAGGAACUUAUUUGGGGGACGUCCCAAAAAGGAAAAAGAGGAACUUAUUUCAGGGACAGAGGGAGUAAUUAUUAUGUAUAUAAAAUUGGAAUCGACAUUUGAGCUGAAACCUAACAGUGAUACGAAAAUUUGGAUACAAAAUGCCAAGUGAUCAAAACAUAGUAGAAAAUAUUUCCACAUACUGGAAAUU